This is a long non-coding RNA of Enhydra lutris kenyoni (northern sea otter), 1920 nucleotides long. RefSeq lists it as uncharacterized. The record is from RefSeq and is a predicted model, not a curated record. NCBI's taxonomy places the organism in Eukaryota, Metazoa, Chordata, Mammalia, Carnivora, Mustelidae. The transcript has 3 exons.
CUCGGUAGAGAUGGAGAGGUUGAGGGGAAAGAGAUGCUCGGAGUGAACAGAAAAUGAAGACGGCCACGGCAGCUGAGGAGAUGGAGAGGGACCCGAGUUGGAGCGCCCCGUGUCGGGCAUGAGCCAAGAGGAACCAACUCCAGGGAGGGUGGAGAGACAGACAGAGAGAGAAGAAGGUCACUGCUGACGUCAGGGACAUUCAGGAAACCACUGAGCACAAAGGCGGUAUUGAUUCUCUGCCACCCCCAGAGUCCGUUCCCGGAGGCUUCGCCGCUGGUCCCUCACCACACACCCACGCCCCACCCGCGGGACCGUGACAUCCUGACCGUCUGACCAUCUGCCUGGGAGCCCGAGCCCACAGCUGGCUCCGUCAGACGCCCGGAGGGCAGGCCUCACCCGUGGGCUGCCGCUGGUUCCUGGCUUCUGGCUGGCAGGAGUUCAGAGCCCAGAGGGGAGCAGCUUCCUCUCCAGCUUGCUCCCCCAGCCCAGGACUUCUGGGAGGAGCUGGCAGGGGCCUCUGUUGCCUACGCACGACCUCUUUUCCUGGAUAAACAGAGCUCUGUCUCCACGGUCAUCAGCCCGGCCUUCUUAACUCCUUCCUCCAGGUUCCUAGCAGCAAGCCAGUCCUGGGCCCUGCCCCUCUCUGCAGGGAAGAAGAAGGAGGUCAUCAGUGGGCAGUGGCCUCCAUUCCCUCUGUGCUGCCCGGGCCCUACCCUCGGCUUGCUAGGUGAAACCCAUGGUCAUGGUCACACGCACUGCAUAUUCUGCAAAGCCCUCUUUGAUGGAGUCCCCCCACAUUGUUCUGUUCUGGACCCAUCACAUUAACUCUCAGUCAGAGGGACUUGCAGUGUGACUAGUUCUCUGAACUAUACUGGCUCAAGGAAAAGUUACCAGGAUUCAGAUUUCUGGACAUAGAGACACUGAAGACAGAGCUGGUUCUAUCAAUGGGUCAAGCGCCAGCUGGCCUGUGCUCCUUGUCUUUCGCAGAAGGCUGUUAAACUGGAAACACGGAGGGUGCCUCUCCUGCCGUCCCCUCCCCUGCAGGCAGAUCCCACAAAGCACAGGCCACCACUAGCAAGAUGAGACCCUCAAGUGCACCCACCAUCCCUCACUCUCUCAAAGGCUUCAGGCUCAUUCCCUCCUUAGGAUUUUUGCAUAGGUUGUUCCCUCUCCUGGGACAACUGCCCCCUUUCAUCCUUCAGAUCUGGAGGCCCUCACUGACAGCCUCCCAUCUAAAUUAGGGGCUUCUGUUUGUAUACUUUCACAGCACCCCAUAUUUUGGGGUCAUUGGUCAUUGGUCACAGGUUUUUUUUUUCCCCUCUGUGAUUUUUGUAUGUGAUUAUUUAACAUCUUAUUAGACUGUGAGCAUCAUGAAGGCAGCACUUAGGAUAAGGCAGGUGCUCAAUCAGGAUUUGUUGAAUGAAUUAAUGACAUUAAGCAGAAUUAUAUCUGAAUCAAUUUAUUCAUCCAUUCACUGUGCUAGGUGCUGGGGAUACAUAGAAUGGGGGCAGGCUAAAGGAAGAGACAGUUAAUAAACUUGCAAACAACAACAAGAUGCAGGAAACAAGAUGGUUAUUUUGACAUCUGAUACCUGAGAGUUUUAAAAGAGCAUAUGUUUCUUUUGUGGAGAUCCCUGGUGACCUCAAACCCUCUAGUCCCAUGGCUCCUGACUCAGCGAGGCCCUGGUGUCCUUUCUGGGGAGGGUGGUCUGUGCGGAGUGUGACAGCCAAGAACUCCAGGCUUUGGCAUUGGUCAGACAUUUUUGGCUUCUAUAAUAAGAGGUCCAGAGGUAGGGUAGAAUUCAGGGAAGUUUGAUUCUGUGGCUUCAUUCAUUCAGUUACAGACCACCUAUAUGUGCCAAGCACUGUGCUGGACUGGAGGAUAUAGCAGUGAGAGAACAGAUGUAUCUCCUAGCCAGCU